Molecule: ribosomal RNA, 1208 nt
Filed under: metagenome
Description: bacterial SSU rRNA
Rfam family: Bacterial small subunit ribosomal RNA
Source: RNAcentral
GGCCUAUUAGCUAGUUGGUGAGGUAAUGGCUCACCAAGGCGACGAUGGGUAGCUGUCCUUAGAGGGUAAUCGGCCAUACUGGAAUUGAGAUACGGUCCAGACUCCUACGGGAGGCAGCAAGUCGGAAUAUUUGUCAAUGGGCGAAAGCUUGAACAAGCAAUGCCGCGUGAGCGAUGAAGGCCUUCGGGUUGUAAAGCUCUGUGUUUUGGGAAGAAAAACUGGCACAUAAACAAUAUGCCAGAUUGACGGUACCAUAAUAGAAAGCCCCGGCUAACUACGUGCCAGCAGCCGCGGUGAUACGUAGGGGGCAAGCGUUGUUCGGAAUUACUGGGUGUAAAGGGCGUACAGGCGGCUGAGUAAGUCGGAUGUGAAAUCCUUGGGCUUAACCUGAGAACUGCAUUUGAUACUACUCGGCUUGAGGUUAGGAGAGGAAAGCGGAAUAUGUGGUGUAGCGGUGAAAUGCGCAGAUAUCACAUAGAACACCGGUGGCGAAGGCGGCUUUCUGGCCUAACUCUGACGCUGACGCGCGAAAGCUAGGGGAGCGAACGGGAUUAGAUACCCCGGUAGUCCUAGCCGUAAACGAUGGGUACUAAGUGUAGGAGGUAUCGACCCCUCCUGUGCUGUAGCUAACGCAUUAAGUACCCCACCUGGGGACUACGGUCGCAAGAUUAAAACUCAAAGUAAUUGACGGGGGCCCGCACAAGCGGUGGAGUAUGUCGCUUAAUUCGAAGCAACGCGAAGAACCUUAUCCAGUGGCUUGACAUUUUUCUGGCAGCCGUGGAAACACGGUCUUCUCUUACGAGACAGAUUAACAGGUGCUGCAUGGCAGUCGUCAGCUCGUGUCGUGAGAUGUUGGGUUAAGUCCCGCAACGAGCGCAACCCCUUUCCUAGUUGCCAGCGAGUAAUGUCGGGAACUCUAGGAAGACUGCCGACGAUAAGUCGGAGGAAGGUGGGGAUGACGUCAUGUCCUCAUGGCCCUUAUGCCCUGGGCUGCACACGUACUACAAUGGCCGGUACAGAGGGUUGCCAAACCGCGAGGUGGAGCUAAUCCCUUAAAGCCGGUCUCAGUUGGGAUUGUAGUCUGCAACUCGACUACAUGAACCUGGAAUCGCUAGUAAUCGCGAAUCAGCAGGUCGCGGUGAAUACGUUCCCGGGCCUUGUACACACCGCCCGUCACACCACGAAAGUCGGUGGCAUUCGAAGCCGAU